This 497-nucleotide ribosomal RNA is filed under the name uncultured bacterium. Its description in RNAcentral is "partial 16S ribosomal RNA". It matches the Rfam family "Bacterial small subunit ribosomal RNA", at positions 28 to 507 of the family's 1533-position model. The record is from RNAcentral.
GAUGAACGCUGGCGGCGUGCCUAAUACAUGCAAGUCGAGCGAACAGACGAGGCGCUUGCUCCACUGACGUUAGCGGCGGAAGGGAGAGUAACACGUGGAUAACCUCCCUAUAAGACAGGGAUCACUUCGGGAAACCGGAGCUAAUACCGGAUAAUAUAUUGAACCGCAUGGUUCAAUAGUGAAAGACGGUUUUGCUGUCACUUAUAGAUGGAUCCGCGCCGCAUUAGCUAGUUGGUAAGGUAACGGCUUACCAAGGCAACGAUCCGUAGCCGGCCUGAGAGGGUGAUCAGCCACACUGGAACUGAGACACGGUCCAGACUCCUACGGGAGGCAGCAGUGGGGAAUCUUCCGCAAUGGGCGAAAGCCUGACGGAGCAACGCCGCGUGAGUGAUGAAGGUCUUCGGAUCGUAAAACUCUGUUGUUAGGGAAGAACAAAUGUGUAAGUAACUAUGCACGUCUUGACGGUACCGAAUCAGAAAGCCACGGCUAACUACGUG